Small nuclear RNA from Cavia aperea (Brazilian guinea pig), 98 nucleotides. The record is from Ensembl. NCBI's taxonomy places the organism in Eukaryota, Metazoa, Chordata, Mammalia, Rodentia, Caviidae.
AUAGUAGUAUAUACACGAAAGUUGGAAGGAUACAGGGAAAAUUGGCAUAACCCUUGUAUAAGAAUGGCACUCACAUCUGUGAAGUGCUUCGCGUUUUC